Molecule: ribosomal RNA, 871 nt
Filed under: uncultured bacterium
Lineage: Bacteria
Description: bacterial SSU rRNA
Rfam family: Bacterial small subunit ribosomal RNA
Source: RNAcentral
AUGCAAGUCGAGGGGCAGCAUGGUCUUAGCUUGCUAAGGCCGAUGGCGACCGGCGCACGGGUGAGUAACGCGUAUCCAACCUGCCUUACACUCUUGGACAGCCUUCUGAAAGGGAGAUUAAUACAAGAUGUUAUCAUGAGUAAGCAUUUUCGCAUGAUUAAAGGUUUACCGGUGUAAGAUGGGGAUGCGUUCCAUUAGAUAGUAGGCGGGGUAACGGCCCACCUAGUCUUCGAUGGAUAGGGGUUCUGAGAGGAAGGUCCCCCACAUUGGAACUGAGACACGGUCCAAACUCCUACGGGAGGCAGCAGUGAGGAAUAUUGGUCAAUGGACGAGAGUCUGAACCAGCCAAGUAGCGUGAAGGAUGAAGGUUCUAUGGAUUGUAAACUUCUUUUAUACGGGAAUAAACGAAUCCACGUGUGGAUUUUUGCAUGUACCGUAUGAAUAAGGAUCGGCUAACUCCGUGCCAGCAGCCGCGGUAAUACGGAGGAUCCGAGCGUUAUCCGGAUUUAUUGGGUUUAAAGGGAGCGUAGAUGGGUUGUUAAGUCAGUUGUGAAAGUUUGCGGCUCAACCGUAAAAUUGCAAUUGAUACUGGCAGUCUUGAGUACAGUUGAGGUAGGCGGAAUUCGUGGUGUAGCGGUGAAAUGCUUAGAUAUCACGAAGAACUCCGAUUGCGAAGGCAGCUUACUAACCUGUAACUGACAUUGAUGCUCGAAAGUGUGGGUAUCAAACAGGAUUAGAUACCCUGGUAGUCCACACGGUAAACGAUGAAUACUCGCUGUAGGCGAUAUAUAGUCUGCGGCCAAGCGAAAGCAUUAAGUAUUCCACCUGGGGAGUACGCCGGCCACGGUGAAACUCAAAGGAAUUGAACGGG